Molecule: long non-coding RNA, 8745 nt
Filed under: Gallus gallus (chicken)
Lineage: Eukaryota; Metazoa; Chordata; Aves; Galliformes; Phasianidae
Description: lncRNA (ENSGALG00010004560.1)
Source: RNAcentral
CAAUGUCUGCUUUUGUGACAGCGACAUUGCCAGUGGUGUAAAAAUCUAUGCAUCUGUCAGGUUUCCCCAUGUGAAACAUAAUUGCUUAAUUUCCAUUUGAAAGUACAUCCCUGACAUUAGAACAACGUAGACGCACCAAGGAUAACAAUGAUUUCCUGACACCUAGAAUGGGGCAUAAUGCGGUAAUAAAUAAGUGUGCAGAAUGAAUGCUCUGCACACAGAGGGAGCAGGUCUGAAUUUACAGCUGCAGAUGAAGUGUUCCUCAGGAAAAAAAAUUAAAAAAAAAAAAAAAAGAAAAAACCAACAGAUUAGCAUCAGUGUGAGUCUAUGUCAACCAGAUGGCUUGCUGUGGAAAAAGAGCUUCCCUGCUUUAUUCCAGUAACCCUGGCUAGCAGGCUGAAUGUCUGAGAUGAGAAGAGAAAAAUGAUCUCAUUCAGGACUUUUUUUUUCCCUUUGCAUACAUGCAGCUUGAGCUGAAGAAGAGAAAAGCUCUGAAAAGAGCACAGAAAUUGUCCCUUAGUGGUGGCGUGUGAGACGUGGUGGACCACAGAGAGCUCAUGGACAUGGGUUCAAAAAUGCAGAAAGCACAGCAUGAAAGCAGUGCGUCACAGCCAUUCUCAAUGUACAGCGCAUGAAGAUGGGCACCCACUGCCCGUCUCAAGUCAUCCUCACACUUGCUUCCUCUUGACCACACAGAAGUGAUUUUGAUGAAGAGGAACAUGGACAUCCAGAGCAUAUGUCUAUUCUCUCAAAACAUGCCAACACGAUCCCUUCAGUUUGAAACGGAUGGAUCAAAGCUUUGAAGUCCAUUUGUACUAAUGGAUCCGGAUCCAGCUUGUAGAUACCUGACCUCAUACUACAUGUUUUUUUAUUAAAUAGUCUCUUGGUGAAUGUCAUACUAGCAAACCAAAGUUUGGAGGCUCUUUCCUCAUUGAAAAGGCAGCUGCUGUGUCACAGUGUUAUAUCCCAUCAUCUUUGUAUUAGCAGCCAAAGUGAAAGGCUCUAGACUGUAUUAAAAAAAAAAAAAAGUAAUAAAGCUUCAUCUUUUUUCAUUUUGGGACUCAAAGCAAAAGCUCCGAACAUUCUGUUUACCAUUUUUAUUACACAAUAUUGGCAUUCUUAAAGUCUGGAAUGAAACCUUUUUUCGUUUUUUUUUUUUAUUCAUUAAAGUGCUCAGUAUCAAUGGACUGUUUCUUACUUUCCAUGUAUUACGACAAAACAUUAAGCCGAGGAUAUCUGUUGCCAUUGUUAAAGCACUGCGUUCUUGUGUGACUGGAAAUCCACUCUCUUCAUUGCUCCCUUUUGUACGCCCUCCAUGAAGCCAACUGGCUUCAGCUGUUGACAGAUAACAAGUGAGAACAAGAAGAGGUGUUAAAAAAAACUGCCAGGAAAGUCUCCAAGCAGUGCUCAGUGUGAGCAGACCUCUCUCGUUAGCCACCCCAGGAGAAAGCUCUGGCCAAAGCAACACGCCUCCGUCUCAGAUGCCUGUGCUGUCCUGUGAGACUCCUCGUUCUUCUGGGCUCUGCUGGUCUGUUGAGUCCAGCUCUGUCUGAUAGAACUGCUGCUUUGCUUCUGAUUCCUGUUGUUGCCUGCCGCAUUGUGAGUUCUACACACCACGCAGCAAAAGAAGCAAUGACAAAUCUGAGAGCUGUGGAGUGAAACUGUGCUAGAAUUUGCUAAUGGGAGAUGGAGGAAGACGAGCAUAGUGAAACAUGGCCAGGCCCAGAGAAUGCAUGUGAGGUGGCUUGAAGAAAUGUAUCAGACCAAGGGAAUAAGAAGGUGAAAUCCUGAGAAUUAUGUCCCAGCUGUGACAUGGCAGACCAGAGGUGAUGCUUUAGAAGCACAGGGUGUAUGCAUUCUUAUAUUCCUUUGCCCUCUUUGUAUCUGAACUGACCCAUCUGCUUCCACUCCCCCAGGAAGCCAACAGCAGUUUCAAAACAUCCCUAGGAGAUUCCAGGAGUGUAGAACAAAGGACAUACUCAAAAACUCAGUGAAGGUCACUUGUGAUUUUGAAGCAAGACUGCUGUAGGUAAAUGGCUCUUGGAGAGGCAGGUAAUUCGGCAUCAGCAGGACUGGUUGCCCAUGCAGCUUGGGAGCUGAUGGCUUGUUCUAUGCAAAGUAAAUGAGCCUCAUACUAAUUUGUCAUCAGCCCAUAAAAAUGUGAACUCUACUGUGACCAAACCAGAUUAGUGCUGUACUCAAUGGCAGCAGUGCUCAGAGCAAAUAAGGCCAAAUCAGGUCAUAAAACCCUUUAACUUGUUUUAAAGUGUCCCUCGUAGUGCAUUGGAUGAAAUCUGGCUUUCAACAUGGUUUUGCUACUGUCACAACCCAGCAGAGAUGCCCUUUAGCUACAGUUGGAUUUAACGCUGACAUCAAUCUCUGUUGACAGAUCCCAUUGCUGCUGUGUGGGUCCAUCAGGCUCAGCAUAGCUUUUCACUGGCAUCAGCAAUCAUGAGAUUUGCCCCAGGAAUGUCCAGGAACCAGCUGCACACCCAAGUCAACAAAGCCACUGCUUCUGCCAGCGCUAAACAGAGGUACAGGAAGGUGUAAAUCCUGAGCCUAAGUGUUCAAAGGGGUUGCCUCAACUACUCCACAAACCUAUAGGCAUCCACAGAAAAAUCACCUUUGUGUGCCUGAGCAACUUGUCUCUGUAUGUUGCUUUCCUCUCCUGUCAGUUCUGCCAGUUAUACUGAGUGUAAAAGCCUGGUUCCAGUUAUCUGUCCCACAUUUAGCAACCAUGCUCUCAUUGCUCUUGAGCUGCAGCAGAGAGGACGGGACCAAGUUGGUCGAAGAAUCUCUAGCUCCUCUGUAGCUCAGCACUCUCUAGGUAAAAUACUGAACAAAAAAAGAAGGGGAGCCUGCCAGUGAAGAAGUCCAAACAGAGAAGGCAGUGGAUAUUCUACUCUUUCCAAGUCAUUACUUCACUCAGCACAGCCUGUUAUUUGGAGAGCCCAUGGAAAGCUGUCCAGGCAGGGAAGCAUGCUGUUGCUGAGAGGUCUGCCUCUAUCCGUCAGUAAUGGGUGCUUGUGUGAGCAGAGCAUUUGCAAGGAAUUUUACAAGGUGAGUGGUAGGGGAAUCUGAAUUUUGGGUGGUGGAUGGAAAUACUAAGUAAUGUGAGAAUAAUUCUGUUCAUGUGACCUAUGUCUGUGGGUGGCAGCAUUUGCACCUCCAUUACGGUUUCCCUUGACGUGUUAGAUGUGCUCAGUUGUGCCCCUGGAGCACCAACACGCUGAUUUGUGUGUUGAACUGACUGAUCAUAUGAACACCCCUCAGUGAAACCUUCAAAAUAGCCUGUUUUAGGUAAUAUAAAAAUAUCCUUCGUCGAAUGACUGCUUUAGGCAGAAGUGAUGGGAAAGAAUACAUUCAAGUUGGUUUGUUCUAUUUGAUACUUCUUUUUUCCUACCUAAAAGCUGUUGGGAAGAGUGUGACUCUCCAUCAGUGGAGCUCUGUUGGCAGUUUCAAUAGAUGUAAGUUGUAAAACGAGCUGCGCUUUGGCAUUUUAUCACCAACAGCCCAAACCAGCAGCAGUCCAGGAUGGAUCCCAGCCCUGAAUCAUAAGCAUGAAUCAAAAAGAAAACGUGAUACAUCGCUUAGCUUCUCACUGUUGCUACCUGCAAUAUUAGCAGUGCUUCCUGAACCACUACGCCAUAUAAAACCUUGAACGGGAUAUUCCCCACACCCCAUUCCACGGACAAAAUAAAGGCUUACCUUCUCCACUGGCACUCAUGCACUUUCAUGCAGAAAUAAGGACUAAGCUGACAGGGAGUGCAUUGUUUGUAAGGAGAAGAAGAGGAUGAAGAUGCGUAGCAGUAUGGCUACUUUCCCUCUUGUGACCUCCCCUGUCUUAUGAUCCUCACUCUGAUGAUGGUAAUUUACAGGAGAGAAGAGUACACCCCCUUGUAUCACAGCAAGCAUCACUUUGGACAUCUCUGCACUAGGUUUUCUCUUCUCAUUGAGCAGCAUUUUGAAGUCAAUUCUCCACAUGUACAAUUAGUGCUAGGCCUUUAUACUUGGUCAGCAAAGAGUUACAAAAUUAAAUAUUUUCAACAAACCAGCUAAUGUAUGCCCUUGUGUAAGCAGCUCUUGCAAGAGAAGAACAAGUUCAAAAUAAAUCAUUACAUCAAUUACUUUGUGUCUGUGCACAAGUUACUAAUUAUCUCUGAAUAUAAACACCAAUAAAGAUAGAGACUAUUUCUAAGUAUUUACUCUGUAAAUUGUCAGUGACCUGACUACUUGGCUACUACAUUAAAUGAUUGUUUCUCUGUGUUAAUGUAUUCCAGGCUGCAAAGUCCUGCCUGCUCUAAAAUUAAAGAUCUGAAUUCAGCAGAGCAAAUGGAUAUUACCUUGACUUGAAAGUGUUGAAAUUUCUGGAACUUGAGGUCUUGCUUGUAGUAUCUACUGAUGGAUGACAUCUAUUUCAAAGCAAAAAUUCACUCAUCCCUACCUGAAUGGGCUCCUCGGUCACGGGGAUCAUGACCUCUUAGGAGGUAAGUCCCACACCAAGUCCAACUGGCUAAUCUUGGUGCAUGGUUAGCAAUGGGGACGGUGACUCAAUAUUUACAUCCUGUUUCUCCAACUUGAUGGAAAGAAAUUCUAACAAAAAAAUAAAAUAAUAAAAUAAAAUAAAAUAAAAUAAAAUAAAAUAAAAUAAAAUAAAAUAAAAUAAAAUACUUGAUCCCUUUGACCCAUUGAGGUCAAUGGAAAAACUCCCAUAGAUGUGAUAUGGACUCAGAUAAAGACUUAGUCUCCAUUUCCAUUGAUGGUAUGGAUGUUCAGCCACUGAAAUGAUAAAAAGAGACACAUAUGCUGAAUUAGAAAAAUUCUCAUUUCACAAAUUGCUCAGAUACAAAUUUUUAGUUUGUUAUUUUCUACAUGAACAAAUGAAAGAUAAAUGGAAAUGAUCUCUAAAUUCUUGUCUCAGUACACUGAAGAGAGAGCAAGAACAUCAGGUUGCUAGAACUGAUGGCUGAAGGAACUCUGUUCAUCCCAAAUUUUCAGCCAGUUAUUUCAUUUCAUUUGAUCACCAUCCAUUUAGUUUUGUUAAAUGGAAGAAAACUCAUUGUUUAAUAUUAAUAUUAAUAAUAAAUAUUAUGGACAUUGACCAAUCAAUCAAACUUGGAUGGGCUCAGAGCAAGUAUUUGUGAACUGUGAGCAAAGAUUUCUAUGUCAUGCAGUGGAGGUGUACGUUCAUGGACUGGGAAUUUAGGCUUCUGCUAACAAGAUACCUCCAAUCCUUUUCUGCUCAGUGAUUCUUCCUGCUCAUGGAAAGUAGCGUGCUGUAGUGGGAUGGGGAGAGAGAGGAGAUAGUGCCCUGCAGAACUGGACCCGGUGAGGAUGUGGAUCAAGACUCAGGAAUUAAGGAGUAUUCUUGUACUGCCACUUUAGCUGUAAUCAGAGAAUCUCUUUGAAAUCCUACUUUAAGUGAAAAAUUAAAGGUGUACAUUUGUGGAAGUAACUCCAAAUUCAAGGUUCUAAAGUAAAGAAAUGCAAAGUGGGCAGCAAAAUACAUGUGCCAGACACCUCAGACUGGAGUGACUAAAAAACACUUUCUAGCAAGUGCUGGGUGGGACUUUGCUGAUUUAGUGGGCUCCAGAUUGGAAACAAAGAAAUACCUACACCACAAAUGCCUUCCUUGUUGUGAAGGCUUCUUCAUAUCUAUUUCUCCUGUCCGUACAACAGUUGCAGCACUUAUUCAGUGGAACAGAAACAAAGACACUUAGAAGGUUUUCCAGACAUUUAAUCAACCAUCAUCUUCAUGGAAAGAUAGACAAGGUGUAAUUCCGAAUAAAUUCUUAGGAACAUGGACAGAGCUAAGAUCACUGUAAGGUUGCAUUAAUGAAAGGAUGUUUGAAUAUGGUCAUUGGCAGUGCACCUUUACUGACACUUCAUUCAGCACUAAAACUCCCACUGGGAGCAGCUAUGACAAAUAGACAUACAUGCAUACCACAGAUUAUACUGGGAAUCUUGGGUGCUCCUUUGAAUGGAGAGUGCCAAAAGGCAAAAGACCUCCAGAAGAGCUGACAUUCCGUAUUACACAUUUUUUUUCCAUAAAUCAUAUAUUCGCAAAGGCUCUUCUUCAGGUUGUUUUUGUUUCUUUUGUUUUUGUUUUUGUUUUAUCCUCUCCAUACUUUCAGUCCACAAAGAAAGAAGUAAAAAGAUAAUCCUGAACUCCAGUAUGGACUGCUUUGUUCAUGGUUCAGAUGAAUUCUCCUGCUUUAAGAACAAAAAUUUGAUGAAUUUCCUUAUACUGAAAAUGGUGAUGGUAACUGUUAGAUCAGUAAUGGCAAAAUGUUUAUCUAAACAAGUCCUAUAUUUCUGAUAUAAAAUGCCUCAGUGUGUGUCUGCAGAUUUAUAGAAGGGGGAGAAAGGGAAAGAUUGAGUCCAUGGUGAGAGAGGAAAAGAAAAUAAGGACCCUCUGCAUGAUGUUUGCAGUAAAUUUCUCAGGCAGCUGAUGUUUAUACCAGCACUGUUCCCAUCAGAUUAAGGCACGUAAUGUAGGGACAUAAUCACCCUUAACUUCCCCUCGUAAUCAAGGGGUAAAAGCAGUCACACUGAUAUCCUGUGAUGUGUGCUCUGAAUUCUGAAGCUCUAAACAGAGUAUUCUGUAGAAUUUCCUUACGCCACUAACUAUAGAGGAUUCUAUGGUUGACCAAUUUCACUAUAGACUGAGGCAAUUAUUUGUGCCAGAUGGGAAGCCAGCCCAUAGAUGUAUUGCUCUGCAACAGAGGCUUGUCUCCAUGUUCAAACUAAAAUGUUGCCUUACUGCUCCAUCAAGCACAGCAUGGAAUGGAAAUACACAGCAAAAUCUUCUGUCUUCAGCCCUAAGCUUUUCUGAAUGAUAAAGAUGAUAAAGAGCCUGGAGCAUCUCCCGUAUGAGGAAAGGCUGAGUAACAUGGGUCUGUUUAACCUAGGGAAAAGAAGACUUAGAAGGGAUCUGAUUAAUGUUUAUAAAUAUCUAAAGGGAGGUGGGAAGCAAAUGAAUGAGGCCAGGCUCUUCUUAGUGGUGCGUAGUGAUAGGACAAGGAGUAAUGGCCUAAAACCUGAGCAUAGGAAGUUCUGUACUAACAUGUGGAAGAACUUCUUUACAGUAAGAGUGAUAGAGCACUGGAUCAGGCUGCCCAGAGAAGUUGUGGAGUCUCUUUCUCCAGGGAUAUUCAGGGAUAUUCAAGAACUAUUUCAACGCCCACCUGUGUGACCUGUUGUAGGGAACCUGCUUUAGCAGGGGUUGGACUCUUGAGGUCUCUUCCAAUUCCUGCAAUUCUGUGAUUCUGUGGGUAGAGAUUAAAAAUAAGAUAUAACAUUAUGUAAGAGAACACAGGAUAGAACAAACUUUAGUAUCAAGGAGAGGAUUUUGAAAGACAUAAGUCAUGCUGAAACAAAAGUGCUGCUGAAGGUGUUGUGUGUCUUUCUGCUCUUUAUAACUCCAGAAAUGUUCUUUCUCUAUAGCAAAUCCCAACUAAUUGGUCAAUUGAUCAAAAUAUAUUUCUUUUUUCACAAAAAUGUCUUAACAAAACCAAUUUGUAGAAACUCGUCAAACAUUUAUAUGGGGUGAUGCUUAUGAGAAAGUGAAAAAUAUUUAUGUUUUCAGAUUUUCAAGGAAAUCUGAACUAUUUCCAUGAACUUUCAUUUCACUUUGCCUGCAGAAGUGUUUUUUAUUACGCUUUUCAUCAAAUGAAUGAACUGAAAAUGUGAUUAGCUAAUUUAUUCUGGUAAAGAAAUAAUCAUACAGCAAUGCAGCAUUUUGAAAUAUUUCUAUGAAGCAGAUGGAAUGUGUUUGGUUUUUUUCCAGCUCUUAUGAUGUUGUGCAAAUACGUUGUCCCUUUCUUGUUGACUGCAACCUUAUUAAAGUAAAUGCAAUAGGUGAUGUGGCAAGGAUGAGCCAUAAAAACGUGCCAGAGAGGAUGAAAUCUGCAUGCCUGAAGCCAGGUACAGUCACGUGCAAAUUAGCAUUGUCCACAUUAACCUUAAUUUCCCAAAAUAAAACAGAAGAAGGCCUUAGUUACAAUACUGUUACUGCUCUCCGUUGCCAAAUUUCUGCCCACAGUGUAGUUUUAUGGAGAAUUCUGUGAGUUCAGAAAAUAAGUUUUGUGGAAAAGCUGCCAAAAAGAGAGCCUGCCCAUACUAGUAUAAACAUUGUUCUUACUGCUAUACAAAACUGCUUUGUAUAGUGCUGGAGGCUACCUCGGUGAUUUCUGAGAUGGCACUGUCUUCAUUACAAAUGCUCUGAAGGCAGUAGUUGUAGUUUGUGUGGCUCAGUAGAAAUAGCAGUAACCUACAGCCUACUGAAAUUCUGUGGCUGACCAAGAGUGCAGUUAUUCUUUAAUUGACAGUGGAAGAGUUCAAAGGGAAACCAGAAGCAGUCUCAAAAAAGCAACGAAAUGCGGCACAUCUGGGAGUGUGUAUAAAUCCACACUGUGUAUGAAGCCAUGAUCCUCAAAACUAAGGUCUUGUCUUUAGCCAGUGUACACACACACACACAGUGUAUGUAUAAGCACUAGUGGUGGCAACAGACAACCAUCAGCAGCUCAGACCCAAUAUCUGAAUUGUUGUUCUGUUAUUAAGCUACUCUUAUAAAGAAAGAACUGUUUCAUCCUCCUCCUCCUCACCCUUCACGAUAUCAGCAUCCCAUCUGACACCAUCAAGGGUGUAAUUUCCUUCACUUCAGACACUUUGAAAAUUUAACUGAGAAUAAAUGUUAUCUCUUUCACUGGUUGUAUAAGCAACCACAGCAAUUAUAUAACUGCC